This 170-nucleotide small RNA is filed under the name Novosphingobium sp. ST904. RNAcentral describes it as "caulobacter sRNA CC2171". The record is from RNAcentral. Lineage: Bacteria; Pseudomonadati; Pseudomonadota; Alphaproteobacteria; Sphingomonadales; Sphingomonadaceae.
CAACAGCGCGAAAGGAGGUGAUCCGAUGUCUCAUGGUUCAGCAGAGAGGUCGGCAAUUUCCGUCGCGAGGCAUUAUCGCUAAAUUUUGAUGAAGCGAUAAAGGCUUUCGCUGGCGGCACUUCCCGGCCGCUGACCAUGCGAAGGGCCGCACCGGGCAACCGGGGCGGCCC